RNAcentral lists this non-coding RNA (118 nucleotides) under Acetobacterium wieringae. Its description in RNAcentral is "Glycine sequence". It matches the Rfam family "Glycine riboswitch aptamer". From Rfam's summary of the family: This family represents the bacterial glycine riboswitch. Glycine riboswitches usually consist of two metabolite-binding aptamers domains with similar structures in tandem. The aptamers cooperatively bind glycine to regulate the expression of downstream genes. Lineage: Bacteria; Bacillati; Bacillota; Clostridia; Eubacteriales; Eubacteriaceae. The record is from RNAcentral.
UCGCAGCACUCUGGAGAGUCUCAAAGAUGAGCGCCGAAGGUGUACCCCUGGAAAGAUCAGUCUGGCAACGACUGAACAUUUCAGGCUAUCUCUCAGGCAAAAGGACAGAGCAACCCAU